RNAcentral lists this ribosomal RNA (239 nucleotides) under uncultured Streptococcus sp. RNAcentral's name for it is "partial 16S ribosomal RNA". It matches the Rfam family "Bacterial small subunit ribosomal RNA", at positions 1146 to 1382 of the family's 1533-position model. Lineage: Bacteria; Bacillati; Bacillota; Bacilli; Lactobacillales; Streptococcaceae. The record is from RNAcentral.
ACGCGGCCGUAAAAGUACCGGAGGAAGGUGGGGAUGACGUCAAAUCAUCAUGCCCCUUAUGACCUGGGCUACACACGUGCUACAAUGGUUGGUACAACGAGUUGCGAGUCGGUGACGGCGAGCUAAUCUCUUAAAGCCAAUCUCAGUUCGGAUUGUAGGCUGCAACUCGCCUACAUGAAGUCGGAAUCGCUAGUAAUCGCGGAUCAGCACGCCCGCGGUCGAAUACGUUCCCGGGCCUU